This 336-nucleotide unclassified non-coding RNA is filed under the name soil metagenome. RNAcentral describes it as "partial contains 5.8S ribosomal RNA, internal transcribed spacer 2, and large subunit ribosomal RNA". The stretch from base 1 to 120 matches the Rfam family "5.8S ribosomal RNA", at positions 35 to 154 of the family's 154-position model. The record is from RNAcentral.
GAUGAAGACCGUAGCGAAAUGCGAUAAGUAAUGUGAAUUGCAGAAUUCAGUGAAUCAUCGAAUCUUUGAACGCACAUUGCGCCCCUUGGUAUUCCGGGGGGCAUGCCUGUUCGAGCGUCAUUUCAACCCUCAAGCUCUGCUUGGUAUUGGGCUCCGUCCUCCUCGGACGCGCCUCAAAGACCUCGGCGGUGGCGUCUUGCCUCAAGCGUAGUAGAAACACCUCGCUUUGGAGUGCAUGGCGUCGCCCGCCGGACGAAACCUUUUGUAUUUUCUCAAGGUUGACCUCGGAUCAGGUAGGGAUACCCGCUGAACUUAAGCAUAUCAAUAAGCGGAGGA